This 333-nucleotide ribosomal RNA is filed under the name Pyramidula jaenensis. RNAcentral's name for it is "partial 16S ribosomal RNA". Lineage: Eukaryota; Metazoa; Mollusca; Gastropoda; Stylommatophora; Pyramidulidae. The record is from RNAcentral.
UUGACUGUGCUAAGGUAGCAUAAUAAAUUGGCUUUUAAUUGAAGUCGNGNAUGAANGGNUGUUUGNNGNUANUCNGUCUUGUUUUUAUUUUUUAAAAAUUACUAAUGAGGUGAAAAUUCCUCAAUAUUAUCUGAUAGACGAGAAGACCCUAAGAAUUAUUACAACUAUUAAAAAAUUAAUAAAAGUUUUUGUUGGGGCAACAACUUUGAAAAUAAAUAACCAAAGUAAGUUUAUUUAAACAUAAAAAUUAUAUUAAAAGUGAAUUUAAUUACCUUAGGGAUAACAGCAUAAUUAUAUAUUUUAGAUUGUGACCUCGAUGUUGGAUUAAGGCCU